ACAGAGCAAAAAUUUUUUAGAGAUCAAAUCAAGAAGAUUAAAUGCUACCUCGAUGUUGAAUUAAGAAAACAUCUAAUAGAAGAAAAUUAGAUUAUAGGUCUGUUCGACCUUUAAAUUCUUACAUGAUUUGAGUUAAGACCGGUGUGAGCCAGGUUGGUUUCUAUCUUCAUAAUAGAGGUUUUUAUAGUACGAAAGGACCUAAAAACUUAAUUUUAUUAAUUAAUUAGCUUAUAAAAAGCAAGUAUUUUGAAAAUACUAGAAAGAUUUAAGAAUUUAUUAAUUUUAUGU
This 288-nucleotide unclassified non-coding RNA is filed under the name Frankliniella occidentalis (western flower thrips). RNAcentral describes it as "partial contains large subunit ribosomal RNA (rrnL); may also contain tRNA-Leu (trnL)". The stretch from base 1 to 168 matches the Rfam family "Bacterial large subunit ribosomal RNA", at positions 2477 to 2645 of the family's 2925-position model. The record is from RNAcentral. Lineage: Eukaryota; Metazoa; Arthropoda; Insecta; Thysanoptera; Thripidae.